Molecule: long non-coding RNA, 1615 nt
Organism: Salvelinus sp. IW2-2015
Lineage: Eukaryota; Metazoa; Chordata; Actinopteri; Salmoniformes; Salmonidae
Source: RefSeq, a predicted model, not a curated record
GCACCUCAUUGUGACGAGACAGAGAGUGUCUGAUGUUUUCAUCCCAGUAGCACCUUCAUUGUGACGAGACAGAGAGUGUCUGAUGUUUCAUCCCAGUAGCACCUCAUUGUGACGAGACAGAGAGUGGUCUGAUGUUUCAUCCCAGGAAAGGAAAAAGCAGAAAUCUCAGUGACCUUCUGACCUGGAAAAGGAGUCGGAGGACAGUGAAAAAGACGGUGUUGAAAUCAGAGCAGAAAGCAGAGAGAACAGAGUUUUGCCUAAAGGUAGAAUGGCUGUUGAGCAGGUGUGGUAGAGAGAAACACACUGAAGCAGUGGAGGAGCUGAAGUCUGGACAGGAUGUAGCCUAACUGUGGAAAAAAAAUUACACAAACUAGCUGAUGCACACAUUACAAAUGACAACAGUUGCAACAAGCUUACUCUGCAUCAAUUGGUCUAUUUGUGCUGCUUGGCCACCUCGUCUCAGCUGUAGGGUGGAUAGCUCUCUCAAUGCUACAGUGAUCCAAAGGAAUGUGAACGGUUCCUAAUGGAAGACUCAUUUCCUGUCUCCCAGAAGUCAAUAGACUCACAUUCUAUUACUCACUGAGUCAACAAGCCUACCGGAGAUUCAACUCCUUCAUUGUAUUCGUUAGGGACAUUGUAGCACAACGUGCAAACUGUGUACCAUUUAGUAGCCUAGUCUUUUUAGUAUUCAGUGAAACAACGGGAAACAUAUAUAUUGUUUGAUUGAUUUGGAUUAAGGGUUUAGUCUUUGAUUUGGAUUAAGGGUUUAGUCUUUGAUUUGGAUUAAGGGUUUAGUCUUUGAUUUGGAUUAAGGGUUUAGUCUUUGAUUUGGAUUAAGGGUUUAGUCUUUGAUUUGGAUUAAGGGUUUAGUCUUUGAUUUGGAUUAAGGGUUUAGUCUUUGAUUUGGAUUAAGGGUUUAGUCUUUGAUUUGGUUUAGUGGAUUGUGUGGAUUCCCUUGGCCUCCUGUUGGUUAUCUCUUGAUGCCUGGUCUUGCUGUAAAGAGACUGAAUACAGUAUGAUUAUUGCUCGACUUCAUUUGUCUUCACCGUUGAACGACGUAUCAAUUGACAAGUCAAACUCCACUACCUUUACAAGCCUCUAUAGAAGAACCUCUGAUCAUUUUUUGUUKGAUAUAAGAAAGCACACAAGGAUUUUAUAUAUUUUUUAUUAAGACUUUUGUGUUGGUGAAAGAACCUACUAUGAUGGAGCGUGUUUAUCUUUUAGAAAAUAUAUUUGGAUCUUUUUCGGGGGGGAUUUUUCUAGCGAGAUUAAGAAAGACCGUACAUCAAGACUUGGUUUACUGCAACCAAUACUUCCUGUUUUGAACAUGACGUUAUUCUACCAUCAACUGUGAAGUGGAAGUGUUUUGAAGAGGACACUUCCACUGACAUUCUCAGUUGUUUCUCUGACACCUGUGAGCCUCGGAUAAAAAGGUGAUGUGUGUUUCCAGUCCUUAAAGCAGUGUGGUCUUAUCCCUUCUCUACUGUUUCAACUCUUCACAAAUGAAAACAUCUCAUCGCCAAAGUGGUGAAGAAGGAGGUCAUCUAUAGUAUGACAGGAGCAGUGGCUUGUUCCUUCCAGAAGACUUGAGGAUGAACUUCUCCGUCAGUGAUGA